This 492-nucleotide ribosomal RNA is filed under the name uncultured bacterium. Its description in RNAcentral is "partial 16S ribosomal RNA". It matches the Rfam family "Bacterial small subunit ribosomal RNA", at positions 29 to 507 of the family's 1533-position model. The record is from RNAcentral.
AGUGAACGCUGGCGGUAGGCCUAACACAUGCAAGUCGAACGGCAGCACAGUAAGAGCUUGCUCUUACGGGUGGCGAGUGGCGGACGGGUGAGGAAUACAUCGGAAUCUACUUUUUCGUGGGGGAUAACGUAGGGAAACUUACGCUAAUACCGCAUACGACCUACGGGUGAAAGCAGGGGAUCUUCGGACCUUGCGCGAUUGAAUGAGCCGAUGUCGGAUUAGCUAGUUGGCGGUGUAAAGGCCCACCAAGGCGACGAUCCGUAGCUGGUCUGAGAGGAUGAUCAGCCACACUGGAACUGAGACACGGUCCAGACUCCUACGGGAGGCAGCAGUGGGGAAUAUUGGACAAUGGGCGCAAGCCUGAUCCAGCCAUACCGCGUGGGUGAAGAAGGCCUUCGGGUUGUAAAGCCCUUUUGUUGGGAAAGAAAAGCAGCAGGUUAAUACCCCGCUGUUCUGACGGUACCCAAAGAAUAAGUACCGGCUAACUUCGUG